AGAGUUUGAUCCUGGCUCAGGAUGAACGCUAGCGGCAGGCUUAAUACAUGCAAGUCGAACGGCAGCACGUGUAGCAAUACAUGGUGGCGAGUGGCGCACGGGUGCGUAACACGUAUGUAACCUACCUCUAACAGUGGCAUAACAAUGAGAAAUUAUUGCUAAUUCCGCAUGUGGUUAAUUUGAGGCAUCUUAGAUUAACUAAAGAUUUAUCGGUUAGAGCUGGGCAUGCGUCCCAUUAGCUAGUUGGUGAGGUAACGGCUCACCAAGGCAUCGAUGGGUAGGGGCUCUGAGAGGAUUGUCCCCCACACUGGUACUGAGACACGGACCAGACUCCUACGGGAGGCAGCAGUAAGGAAUAUUGGGCAAUGGACGCAAGUCUGACCCAGCCAUGCCGCGUGAAGGAAGACGGCCCUAUGGGUUGUAAACUUCUUUUCUCAGGGGGUAAACUUCGGAACGAGUUCCGGACUGAAAGUACCUGAGGAAUAAGCAUCGGCUAACUCCGUGCCAGCAGCCGCGGUAAUACGGAGGAUGCGAGCGUUAUCCGGAUUCAUUGGGUUUAAAGGGUGCGCAGGCGGAUAUAUAAGUCGGAGGUGAAAUUCUGAUGCUCAACAUCAGCCGUGCCUUCGAUACUGUAUAUCUAGAGUCAAGUUGGAGUAGGCGGAAUGUGUUGUGUAGCGGUGAAAUGCUUAGAUAUAACACAGAACACCGAUCGCGAAGGCAGCUUACUAAACUUUGACUGACGCUCAUGCACGAAAGCGUGGGGAUCAAACAGGAUUAGAUACCCUGGUAGUCG
Molecule: ribosomal RNA, 793 nt
Filed under: uncultured bacterium
Lineage: Bacteria
Description: bacterial SSU rRNA
Rfam family: Bacterial small subunit ribosomal RNA
Source: RNAcentral